CCCAUUUUACAGAUUCAGAAAUGGAGGCUCACCCAGGCUACGUAAUUUGCUCAGGACUGUGCAUCCCGCAGUGAGUCUGUGCUAUGGUCCAAACCCAGGACUUUGCCAAAAGCUUCAAGAAGUAGCCAACAUAAUUCAACAUCCAAAACAUCUCCCGCCAUUUCCCUUAACACUACAGCCUCAGCUGGCACGUGAUUGGAAUCUCAAGGCAUGACAAGCAAGAGUCCAAAGCAAAUGUCUUGCUGCCACCCAGCAAGUGUUGCAGACAUCCAGCCUAUUCUAGCUGGGCCCUCACUGCCCUCUGUCCUGCCACCUCAAUUCGGCCAUUCUGUGUUUUCAGAUAUUAUCUGUGCUGCUCUAUUUACUGCAACUAAAUUCAAAGGAAUGUGUCUGGCUACAAGUAACAGAGGAUAGGACAAUAAAAAGGAUUUUAUUUAGUCAACAAGAA
This is a non-coding RNA of Macaca mulatta (Rhesus monkey), 448 nucleotides long. The record is from RefSeq and is a predicted model, not a curated record. NCBI's taxonomy places the organism in Eukaryota, Metazoa, Chordata, Mammalia, Primates, Cercopithecidae.